CCUUAGAGUUUGAUCCUGGCUCAGGAUGAACGCUGGCGGCGUGCCUAACACAUGCAAGUCGAACGGGCGCGGCGUGCGGCAGGGGCCUCGGCCUCUGCGGCGUCCCGCGAGUGGCGGACGGGUGAGUAACGCGUGGCCACCCUGCCCUGUCACUGGGAAUAACAGCUGAAAACAGCUGCUAAUACCGCAUGAUGCAGUUGAGUCGCAUGGCUCUGACUGCCAAAAAUUUAUCGCUUUGAGAUGGACUCGCGUCUGAUUAGCUAGUUGGUGGGGCAACGGCCCACCAAGGCGACGAUCAGUAGCCGGACUGAGAGGUUGGCCGGCCACAUUGGGACUGAGACACGCCCCAGACUCCUACGGGAGGCAGCAGUGGGGAAUAUUGGGCAAUGGGCGCAAGCCUGACCCAGCAACGCCGCGUGAAGGAAGAAGGCUUUCGGGUUGUAAACUUCUUUUCUCAGGGACGAAGCAAGUGACGGUACCUGAGGAAUAAGCCACGGCUAACUACGUGCCAGCAGCCGCGGUAAUACGUAGGUGGCAAGCGUUAUCCGGAUUUACUGGGUGUAAAGGGCGUGUAGGCGGGAAAGCAAGUCAGAUGUGAAAACCAUGGGCUCAACCUGUGGCCUGCAUUUGAAACUGUUUUUCUUGAGUACUGGAGAGGCAGACGGAAUUCCUAGUGUAGCGGUGAAAUGCGUAGAUAUUAGGAGGAACACCAGUGGCGAAGGCGGUCUGCUGGACAGCAACUGACGCUGAGGCGCGAAAGCGUGGGGAGCAAACAGGAUUAGAUACCCUGGUAGUCCACGCUGUAAACGGUGGAUACUAGGUGUGGGGGGACUGACCCCCUCCGUGCCGCAGUUAACACAAUAAGUAUCCCACCUGGGGAGUACGAUCGCAAGGUUGAAACUCAAAGGAAUUGACGGGGGCCCGCACAAGCGGUGGAGUAUGUGGUUUAAUUCGAAGCAACGCGAAGAACCUUACCAGGGCUUGACAUCCCGGUGACCGCGCUAGAGAUAGCGUUUUCCCUUCGGGGACACUGGUGACAGGUGGUGCAUGGUUGUCGUCAGCUCGUGUCGUGAGAUGUUGGGUUAAGUCCCGCAACGAGCGCAACCCUUAUUGUUAGUUGCUACGCAAGAGCACUCUAGCGAGACUGCCGUUGACAAGACGGAGGAAGGUGGGGACGACGUCAAAUCAUCAUGCCCCUUAUGUCCUGGGCCACACACGUACUACAAUGGUGGUCAACAGAGGGAAGCAAAACCGCGAGGUGGAGCAAAUCCCUAAAAGCCAUCCCAGUUCGGAUCGCAGGCUGCAACCCGCCUGCGUGAAGUUGGAAUCGCUAGUAAUCGCGGAUCAGCAUGCCGCGGUGAAUACGUUCCCGGGCCUUGCACUCACCAACCGUCA
RNAcentral lists this ribosomal RNA (1395 nucleotides) under uncultured bacterium. RNAcentral's name for it is "bacterial SSU rRNA". It matches the Rfam family "Bacterial small subunit ribosomal RNA". The record is from RNAcentral.